AUGUGGGGGGAGGGGGGAGAGGAAGGAGUGAGUGGUGGUACAAAAAUAGCGCGUGUGUAGGAAGGACUUCAGUACCGCCUGGAAAAGAGGCGCUGGAAGGAGAGUGGAGCGAGGAGGGGGUUGUGGCAGGCAAGCGAGGGGAAGAGUCCGGGUCUCCCCGAGGAGGUGGGUUCUCUGGCCAGGUACCUCUCGGUCUGGCAGUGGGGUAGGCCCUGGCGGGGGUGUGUAUUGGGAGGAGCUUGAAGGACUAGGCUCCAGUUAGGGGGAAGACGACAGGCAGUGAGGAAAAUGAGGGGCCAGGAGGAGAGCAAGGGAAGAGGCCUGGAAGCUGACAACAGAGCCUUGUCGUGAAAAAAACAAUCCCGCGCUCUUGUUCCUUGAGGGAACUCUGUGUUCUCAAUGGAAGCCAGGUCAGUGAUGGGGAAUGGGAGUGCUGUGGACACCUGGUAGAAGGCUCCGGACUUUGGGAGGGGAAGGAGUCCAGGACCUCUGCUAAUUGGAGGGCUCUUGAGUUGGAAAUAAGCUCGGAGAUAACCAAUUUUGCUUCCCUAUGCAGCGAAGACGGAGUCCUCAUGGCGUAGCGGUUGAGAGUUCAGCUGGUAACCAAAAGGUCGCAGUUGGAAUGCACCAGCGGUCCUUGGAAAUCCUAUGGGGCAAUUUUACACAGUCCUAUAGGUUCGCUGGAAACUGUGGUGGUGUAGUGGUUAAGUGCUACGCCUACUAACCAAGAGUUCGGUAGUUCGAAUCCGCCAUGCGCUCCUGGAAAACCCUAUGGGGCAGUUCUACUCCGUCCUAUAGGGUCGCUAUGAGUCGCAAUGAACUCGACGACAGUGGGUUUGGUUUUUGGUAUAGGGUCAAAGUCGACUCCACCACAACUGACAACGGCAACAGUCAGUUAAGUGCUCUGAAUGAAUCCGGGUUGGGGGGGAGCAGACGGUCGGGGGGAGGCCCAGCCCUGCAGACAGAAACAAAUUGAGGCCCACAGAGGGAGUGGACUUACCUAAGGCCACACAGGAAGGCCUGGAGUAGAAACAAGAUUUGAAUUCCUGAUUCUCAGGCUAACAAUCCUCUCUUCCUUCCCCACCAGCCUCCUAGUCCAAUGCUUGGUCCUGCUGUUAUGCUAAGACAGGGAGGCAGGCAGGGUAUAGCUACUGAAAGCAUGGGCCAGGCUCCCUGGGUUCAAAUCCCGCCACCACCUCUUAUGAGCAGACUUGGGAAAAUAACUUAUCCUUUCUGUGCCUCAGUUUCCUUGUAUGAAAUGAGGCCAACAUGAGUAGUGACUAAAGGUUGUUGUGGGAAUUAGCAAAUUAAUGUUUGUAAAACACUUAAAACCGUGCCCAGCACACACCAAGUGCCAUAUCAGUGUGUGAUAAAUCAAGUGCUUGACAACAAUCCUUGGGCACCCACAGGGUUCUGGGCAGCAUUUGAAGUGCAAGGGAAUUUUCAUUUCUGUGGAUGUAGAAGAUACAACAGCAGCCCAUACUAGGUCCCUGUUAAGAGGAAUUUACAUUCUCAUAGGGGAGACAGCACCUGGAGCAGUGCCUGGCACAGAGUAGGGACUCAGGAGGUAGCUGCUGACAGAGUAAGAGAAGAAGCUGAGCAGAAAGCAGGAGGCAGCUCUGUCACCCGGGCGCUGGCAACUGAACUGAAGGGUUCAGGCCCUCCUUCUUAAGGGCUCAGUGUCAUGGAUUGAAUUAUGUCCCCCCAAAAAUGUGUGUAUCAACUUGGUUGGGCCAUCCUUCCCAGUAUUGAGUGGUUGUCCUCCGUUUUGUGAUUGUAAUUUUAUAUUAAAAAGAUUAGGGUGGGAUUGUAACACCACCCUUACUCAGGUCACCUCCCUGAUCCAAUGUAAGGGGAGCUUCCCCGGGGUGUGGCCUGCACCACCUUUUUAUCUCUCAAGAGAUGAAAGGGAAGCAAGCAGAGAGUUGGGGACCUCAUACCACCAAGAAAGCAGCACUGGGAACAGGGCAUGUCCUUUGGACCUGGGGUCCCUGCGCCUGAGAAGCUCCUCAACCAAGGCAAGAUUGACAAGGAAAUCUUCCUCCAGAGCUGACAGAGGGAGAAAGCCUUCCCCUGGAGCCACACCUUGAAUUUGGACUUGUAACCGACUAGAGUGUGAGAGAAUAAAUUUCUUUGUUAAAGCCAUCCACUUGCGGUAUUUGUUAUAGCAGCACUAGAUGACUAAGACACUCAGCUUGGCCUGGGUUUCCUUGAAAAACAGGCAUCCUCACUGAACCCUGGUUUCCUUCCCAGGCAGGGAGGGUGGGAGUCCAGUUGGCCUCAUUACUGUUUUUGAGAGGAAGUAUCCAUCCUAGAGCAGGAACAGGCCUGGCUCCCGGGGCAGCUGAAGCAACAUAAACCACUUUGUCUGCUGCUGGCUUCUGGUGAACCUGGACUCUGGCCUCUGGAACGAGGAGGGCAAUGGGCCUAGAGGUGGUUUCCAGAGCUCUUCAGCCUGUUACUUGAUGGGAGUCGCCAGUUAUGUGGUGUUUUCAGAGUGAUUUCCAGAGCCCUUUAGCCUGUGACCUCAGGAAUCUCCCAGCCACGUGGUGUGAAGGCUGGGCCCAGAAGCUGGCCUCACCUGACCAAAGUUUGUCCCACUCACCUCUGACCACUUGCACAGAUGUGCGAAUAGAGCCUCUGCGAGAGGGAGAAGGUGCCUGGGUGGCAGAAUGAGCUAGUGCCAAAGUAAGGCAACGAAUCCAGAUCUUUUGAUACCAAAUACCUUACUCCUCCUCCUCACUCCCAAUCCAUCCACUCCUCGGCCCUCAAAUGCCCUGGGCACUGGGCUGGUUCAUGCCUGAAUGCCACCAUGUCACUGAGUCUCAUCCCCUGUUUACCAAAGAAAGUCAUCACGUAGACAAGAAAGCGAAGCUCAGAGGGGUGAUGCGUAGCCUGAAGUCUUGCUGUGUAGACACAUGACAGGCCAAAUUAGAAAGUGUUAGUCUGUGUUUGUCCACCUAAUGUUUCUUCUCUCCAAUUUCCAGGAAAUAACUGGGCCUAGUGUGUAUGUGUGAGUUAAUAUGUGGAAACCCUGGUGGUAUAGUGGUUUAGAGCUAUGGCUGCUAACCAAAAGGUCGGCAGUUCAAAUGUAUCAGAAGCUCCUUGGAAACUGUAUGGGGCAGUUCUACUCUGUCCUAUAGGGUUGCUAUGAGUCGGAAUCGACUCAGUGGUAAUGGGUUUGGUUUGGUUUUGGUUUAGUAAAUAUGUGCUACAGGGAAUUUGGCAAAAGUGUGCCCAAAAUUACCACCCCCCACCCCCUGGUCUUUGUGAGGAGUCCUGGUGGUGCAGUGGUGAAGAGCUCGGCUGCUAACAGAAAGGUCAGCAUGUCAAUCCACCAGCUGCUCCUUGGAAACCCUAUGAGCAGUUCUACUGUGUCCUAUGGGGUCGCUAUGAGUCAGAAUCAACUUGAUGGCAACGGGUUCUUUUUUGGUUUGGUCUUUGUGAAAGCCUAAAACCCAAGAGAUUGCCAGGGAGAAUUGGGAGAGGCAGGAGUGGGGGUUGGGAGGGCACUUUGAAGAAGCUGGAAGGUCUCAGAUGGGCAGGGGGGUGCUGCCCUUACCCCAUCAGGGCUUGGCGAGGGGUUGGGAGAUGGGCAAGGCUUCUGGGGCCUUGGUACCCUGGAAAGCUGGACCACAGAGCUGCUGAGCCUGGAGGGCCUCCUGGGCCGGGACAAUGCACACAGUGAAGUAAUACACGGCCUGCAAUCAGGCAACAGAUGUUUACUGAGCACCUGCUAUGGGCCAGGGGCUGUGCCAGGUCUAGAAAUUACAGUCACAGCUCCUGCCCUCAAGGCCUGCACCUUCUAGUGGGGAAGAUGGAGAGAUAAAUGCGUGAACGAAGAAAUACAGUGCAUGCUUUGUAGGGACAAGUGCUGAGACAAAGGCAUCAGGGUGAGGGGACAGAGAGGGAUGGGGGCUGCUAUCCUACACAGGAUGGCAGGGAGGGUCUUGCUCAGGAGUGGAAUUUCCUGAAGAAGUGAAAGCGAGAGCCACAGGCAGGCCCGGCAGAGGGGACAGCCAGUGUGGAGACCCUGUGGGGGCAUGUUGAGGACAGCAGGUGGCCAGGAGGUGGAGAGAGGGAGGGAGGGAGAGUGGUGGGAGAAGAGGGUGGAGAGGGAGUAGGGUCUCCCGGGCUACGGUCAGGCCUUGGGGUUUUACUCAGAGCAAGUCUGAGCUGCUGCAGGGUUUUGGGCAAAGGAGCUACAGAGAGAGCAUUUGGACAGGCUCCUGGAAGCCACCUCAAAUGCUGGAGCACUGGAACUGAGCAAGCUCUGGAGAGGAAGGAGCCCAAAGAACGACAAAGUUUGGGCUUCCCAGCAUCCCAAUGGGAUAGGACCAUAGAACAGAUUAAUUUAAUGGCUUCUUAAACUCUAAUGUGCAUCCGAGUCACCUGGAAACCUCGUUAAAUGCUGAUUCUGACCCAGUAGACCUGGGGUGGGCCUGAGAUUCUGCAUUUCUAACAUAUCCCAGGUGAGAUUGAAGCUGCUGGUCCAUGGACCACAUUUUGAGCAGCAAGGAUUUAAAGGCAAUUUGAGUCCCUGGGUGGUGUAAAUGGGUUAAGCUCUAAACUACAGCUGAAAGGUUGGUGGUUCAAACCCACCCAGAGGUACCUCAGAAGACAGACCUGGCUGGCGAUCUGCUUCCAAAAGGUCACAGCCUCGAAAACCGUAAGGAGUACAAUCCUACUGUGCACACAUAGGGUUGCCAUGACUCGGAAUUGACUUGACAGCAACUAACUGCAAAGGCAAUUAAGAAUAACCAUGCCUUGCCCACGGUGCCAGUGGCCUGAGGGUCAGUUGCAAACGCUAAUCCUUUAGGGUGACAUCUGAGGCCUUUGCAGGUGGAGCAGCCCCGGCCACUCAGCUGGAGAACCCCCACCUUGAAGCUGUUGCCUACAGAAGUCAAAUGGGUCUUUCCCCAAUCCACACAAGGCCCACACCUUCCCUGCACGACCUGUGAACAGCAAGGGGAUUAGAGGGUGGGAUAUGGGCUCUGGGCCAGCCUGUGAGGGUCCAAAUCCCAGUCCUGCCAGCUACAGGCAGCGUGGCCUCAGGUCAGUGACUUUUCCUCUCUGUGCUUCAGCACAGCAUCUAUAAAAUGCAGAAAAACAAACAAACAAACAAAAUAAAAACAAAGGAGAGCCUCUUCACAAGGAUAUCUUGAGGAUUAAUAGAAAAACUAAAUUAAGAGUCUGGUAGAUCAGAAAAAACAAAC
Molecule: long non-coding RNA, 5216 nt
Organism: Loxodonta africana (African savanna elephant)
Lineage: Eukaryota; Metazoa; Chordata; Mammalia; Proboscidea; Elephantidae
Exons: 2
Source: RefSeq, a predicted model, not a curated record